RNAcentral lists this ribosomal RNA (1412 nucleotides) under Lactococcus cremoris. RNAcentral describes it as "Lactococcus lactis subsp. cremoris 16S ribosomal RNA". It matches the Rfam family "Bacterial small subunit ribosomal RNA". Lineage: Bacteria; Bacillati; Bacillota; Bacilli; Lactobacillales; Streptococcaceae. The record is from RNAcentral.
AAGAUUGGUGCUUGCACCAAUUUGAAGAGCAGCGAACGGGUGAGUAACGCGUGGGGAAUCUGCCUUUGAGCGGGGGACAACAUUUGGAAACGAAUGCUAAUACCGCAUAAUAACUUUAAACAUAAGUUUUAAGUUUGAAAGAUGCAAUUGCAUCACUCAAAGAUGAUCCCGCGUUGUAUUAGCUAGUUGGUGAGGUAAAGGCUCACCAAGGCGAUGAUACAUAGCCGACCUGAGAGGGUGAUCGGCCACAUUGGGACUGAGACACGGCCCAAACUCCUACGGGAGGCAGCAGUAGGGAAUCUUCGGCAAUGGACGAAAGUCUGACCGAGCAACGCCGCGUGAGUGAAGAAGGUUUUCGGAUCGUAAAACUCUGUUGGUAGAGAAGAACGUUGGUGAGAGUGGAAAGCUCAUCAAGUGACGGUAACUACCCAGAAAGGGACGGCUAACUACGUGCCAGCAGCCGCGGUAAUACGUAGGUCCCGAGCGUUGUCCGGAUUUAUUGGGCGUAAAGCGAGCGCAGGUGGUUUAUUAAGUCUGGUGUAAAAGGCAGUGGCUCAACCAUUGUAUGCAUUGGAAACUGGUAGACUUGAGUGCAGGAAAGGAGAGUGGAAUUCCAUGCGUAGCGGUGAAAUGCGUAGAUAUAUGGAGGAACACCGGUGGCGAAAGCGGCUCUCUGGCCUGUAACUGAUACUGAGGCUCGAAAGCGUGGGGGAGCAAAACAGGAUUAGAUACCCUGGUAGUCCACGCUGUAAAACGAUGAGUGCUAGAUGUAGGGAGCUAUAAGUUCUCUGUAUCGCAGCUAACGCAAUAAGCACUCCGCCUGGGGAGUACGACCGCAAGGUUGAAACUCAAAGGAAUUGACGGGGGCCCGCACAAGCGGUGGAGCAUGUGGUUUAAUUCGAAGCAACGCGAAGAACCUUACCAGGUCUUGACAUACUCGUGCUAUUCCUAGAGAUAGGAAGUUCCUUCGGGACACGGGAUACAGGUGGUGCAUGGUUGUCGUCAGCUCGUGUCGUGAGAUGUUGGGUUAAGUCCCGCAACGAGCGCAACCCCUAUUGUUAGUUGCCAUCAUUAAGUUGGGCACUCUAACGAGACUGCCGGUGAUAAACCGGAGGAAGGUGGGGAUGACGUCAAAUCAUCAUGCCCCUUAUGACCUGGGCUACACACGUGUUACAAUGGAUGGUACAACGAGUCGCGAGACAGUGAUGUUUAGCUAAUCUCUUAAAACCAUUCUCAGUUCGGAUUGUAGGCUGCAACUCGCCUACAUGAAGUCGGAAUCGCUAGUAAUCGCGGAUCAGCACGCCGCGGUGAAUACGUUCCCGGGCCUUGUACACACCGCCCGUCACACCACGGGAGUUGGGAGUACCCGAAGUAGGUUGCCUAACCGCAAGGAGGGCUCUUCGUAAGGUAAG